RNAcentral lists this ribosomal RNA (500 nucleotides) under uncultured Myrionecta. RNAcentral's name for it is "SSU rRNA". It matches the Rfam family "Eukaryotic small subunit ribosomal RNA", at positions 34 to 595 of the family's 1831-position model. Lineage: Eukaryota; Ciliophora; Litostomatea; Cyclotrichida; Mesodiniidae. The record is from RNAcentral.
GCGGUCUAGAUUAGCCAUGGCACGUCUAGUACAAACUAAAUGGAUGGUGGAAACUGCAAAUGGCUCAUUACAACGGUUAUGAUGUACCCGGGAGUUCCGAUGGAUAUUUCCAGUAACACUAGAACUAAUACAUGUCCCUGCGUUUAUUAGUUUCGCACAGUCCGUCGCUGAGUCAUGGUAAACAGUUGAUCGACUCGACGUCCCGGAACAGUUUCCGCCCCAUCAGCUUCGAUGGUUGGGUAUUGGCCUACCAUUGCAACAACGGGUAACGAGGAAUUAGGGUUUGAUUUCGGAGAGGGAGCCUGAGAAACGGCUACCACAUCUACGGAUGGCAGCAGGCGCGCAAAUUACCCAAUGCAGACACUGUGAGGUAGUGACGAGAAAUAAUAAAGCGGGACUUCUGUUUCGCUAUUAUAAUGAGGAAUAACCAAAGGUCAUUCCGAUUAGCAACUGAUGGGAAAGUCUGGUGCCAGCAGCCGCGGUAAUACCAGCGUCAGUAG